CCUACGGGAGGCAGCAGUGAGGAAUAUUGGUCAAUGGACGAGAGUCUGAACCAGCCAAGUAGCGUGAAGGAUGACUGCCCUAUGGGUUGUAAACUUCUUUUAUAUGGGAAUAAAAUGUUCCACGUGUGGGAUUUUGUAUGUACCAUAUGAAUAAGGAUCGGCUAACUCCGUGCAAGCAGCCGCGGUAAUACGGAGGAUCCGAGCGUUAUCCGGAGUGAUUGGGUUUAAAGGGAGCGAAGGUGGAUUGUUAAGUCAGUUGUGAAAGUUUGCGGCUCAACCGUAAAAUUGCAGUUGAAACUGGUAGUCUUGAGUACAGUAGAGGUGGGUGGAAUUCGUGGUGUAGCGGUGAAAUGCUUAGAUAUCACGAAGAACACCGAUUGCGAAGGCAGUUCACUGGACUGCAACUGACACUGAGGCACGAAAGUGUAGGUAUCAAACAGGAUUAGAUACCCGGGUAGUC
RNAcentral lists this ribosomal RNA (460 nucleotides) under uncultured bacterium. RNAcentral describes it as "partial 16S ribosomal RNA". It matches the Rfam family "Bacterial small subunit ribosomal RNA", at positions 338 to 795 of the family's 1533-position model. The record is from RNAcentral.